AUAUCAGUCAUGCAUAGCAUAUCAAUAAGCGGAGGAAAAGAGACUAACAAGGAUUCCCUUAGUAACGGCGAGUGAAGCGGGAAGAGCUCAAAUUUGAAAUCUUCAAGGUUUUACCUUGACGAAUUGUAGUUUAAAGAAGUGUUUUCUGUUGAAGUUUUGGUAAAAGUUCUUUGGAAUAGGACAUCAUAGAGGGUGAGAAUCCCGUAUUUGACCAUUACUUUCAGCUUUGUGAUACACUUUCAAAGAGUCGGAUUGUUUGGGAAUGCAGUCCAAAAUGGGUGGUAAAUUUCAUCUAAAGCUAAAUAUUGGCGAGAGACCGAUAGCGAACAAGUACCGUGAGGGAAAGAUGAAAAGAACUUUGAAAAGAGAGUUAAACAGUACGUGAAAUUGUCAAAAGGGAAGCGUUUGACACCAGUGUUGUUUUCUCGAAAAUCAAUUAAAAAGAGUUGGAUUUUGUGUUGUAUUGACUUUAUCGGCUUUCUUCACUCUUUUCCAGCUUUUUUUAAUGCACUUUUCGUUUAACAAGUCAACAUCAGUUUCUUUUGUUGUAAAAAGGUCAUUGGAAGGUGGCUUUCUCUUCGGAGAAAGUGUUUUAUAGCCUUUGACUCAUGCAAUCGGAGAGACUGAGGUCUGCAGCGUAGAUCCUUCGGGGUUAGAUACAUUUGUGCUAAGUUAUAGCUUUUCAUAGACAACCUGUUGACUAUGUUUAGUCUUGUAGCUUACUCGCUUAUGCUAUUUUACCUACGCUUAGGAUGUUGAACUCUAUCACACACAG
Molecule: ribosomal RNA, 775 nt
Filed under: uncultured Neocallimastigales
Lineage: Eukaryota; Fungi; Neocallimastigomycota; Neocallimastigomycetes; Neocallimastigales
Description: partial large subunit ribosomal RNA
Rfam family: Eukaryotic large subunit ribosomal RNA
Source: RNAcentral